GGAAGUAAAAGUGUAACAAGGUUUCCGUAGGUGAACCUGCGGAAGGAUCAUUACAGAGUUCAUGCCCUCACGGGUAGAUCUCCCACCCUUGAAUAUUUAUACCUUAGUUGCUUUGGCAGGCCGUGGAAACACCAUGGGCUCCGGCUUAUGCGUGCCUGCCAGAGGAAACAAACUCUGUUUUUAGUGAUGUCUGAGUACUAUAUAAUAGUUAAAACUUUCAACAACGGAUCUCUUGGUUCUG
RNAcentral lists this unclassified non-coding RNA (241 nucleotides) under plant metagenome. RNAcentral describes it as "partial contains small subunit ribosomal RNA, internal transcribed spacer 1, and 5.8S ribosomal RNA". The stretch from base 1 to 53 matches the Rfam family "Eukaryotic small subunit ribosomal RNA", at positions 1778 to 1831 of the family's 1831-position model. The record is from RNAcentral.